RNAcentral lists this ribosomal RNA (1041 nucleotides) under Salmonella enterica subsp. enterica serovar Thompson. RNAcentral's name for it is "bacterial LSU rRNA". It matches the Rfam family "Bacterial large subunit ribosomal RNA", at positions 231 to 1211 of the family's 2925-position model. The record is from RNAcentral. Lineage: Bacteria; Pseudomonadati; Pseudomonadota; Gammaproteobacteria; Enterobacterales; Enterobacteriaceae.
GAGAUUCCCCCAGUAGCGGCGAGCGAACGGGGAGGAGCCCAGAGCCUGAAUCAGCAUGUGUGUUAGUGGAAGCGUCUGGAAAGGCGCGCGAUACAGGGUGACAGCCCCGUACACAAAAGCGCAUGUGCUGUGAGCUCGAUGAGUAGGGCGGGACACGUGGUAUCCUGUCUGAAUAUGGGGGGACCAUCCUCCAAGGCUAAAUACUCCUGACUGACCGAUAGUGAACCAGUACCGUGAGGGAAAGGCGAAAAGAACCCCGGCGAGGGGAGUGAAAAAGAACCUGAAACCGUGUACGUACAAGCAGUGGGAGCCCCACCACUAAGCCAGUGGUGAACUCCACAUACGCAUCCUUUGCUGAGGCAAUGGUUAACGGAGCGAAAGCGACGUUCAACCGCAAAACAAGCAGAGGGGGCUUAGUGGUGGGGUGACUGCGUACCUUUUGUAUAAUGGGUCAGCGACUUAUAUUCUGUAGCAAGGUUAACCGUAUAGGGGAGCCGGAGGGAAACCGAGUCUUAAUUGGGCGUUAAGUUGCAGGGUAUAGACCCGAAACCCGGUGAUCUAGCCAUGGGCAGGUUGAAGGUUGGGUAACACUAACUGGAGGACCGAACCGACUAAUGUUGAAAAAUUAGCGGAUGACCUGUGGCUGGGGGUGAAAGGCCAAUCAAACCGGGAGAUAGCUGGUUCUCCCCGAAAGCUAUUUAGGUAGCGCCUCGUGAAUUCAUCUCCGGGGGUAGAGCACUGUUUCGGCUAGGGGGCCAUCCCGGCUUACCAACCCGAUGCAAACUGCGAAUACCGGAGAAUGUUAUCACGGGAGACACACGGCGGGUGCUAACGUCCGUCGUGAAGAGGGAAACAACCCAGACCGCCAGCUAAGGUCCCAAAGUCAUGGUUAAGUGGGAAACGAUGUGGGAAGGCCCAGACAGCCAGGAUGUUGGCUUAGAAGCAGCCAUCAUUUAAAGAAAGCGUAAUAGCUCACUGGUCGAGUCGGCCUGCGCGGAAGAUGUAACGGGGCUAAACCAUGCACCGAAGCUGCGGCAGCGA